GGAUUAGUAAACAGAAGCCUCGGUGGAAGAUUACUAAUGAGAGUGGCGAACGGGUGAGUAACGCGUGAGCAACCUGCCUAUGACAGUGGGAUAGCCUCGGGAAACCGGGAUUAAUACCGCAUAAAAUCGUAGAAACACAUGUUUUAACGGUCAAAGAUUUAUCGGUCAUAGAUGGGCUCGCGUCUGAUUAGCUAGUUGGUGAGAUAACAGCCCACCAAGGCGACGAUCAGUAGCCGGUCUGAGAGGAUGAACGGCCACAUUGGAACUGAGACACGGUCCAAACUCCUACGGGAGGCAGCAGUGGGGAAUAUUGCACAAUGGGGGAAACCCUGAUGCAGCGACGCCGCGUGAACGAAGAAGGUAUUCGUAUCGUAAAGUUCUGUCCUAUGGGAAGAUAAUGACAGUACCAUAGAAGAAAGCUCCGGCUAAAUACGUGCCAGCAGCCGCGGUAAUACGUAUGGAGCGAGCGUUGUCCGGAAUUAUUGGGCGUAAAGGGUACGCAGGCGGUUUAAUAAGUCGAAUGUUAAAGAUCGGGGCUCAACCCCGUAAAGCAUUGGAAACUGAUAAACUUGAGUAGUGGAGAGGAAAGUGGAAUUCCUAGUGUAGUGGUGGAAUACGUAGAUAUUAGGAGGAAUACCAGUAGCGAAGGCGACUUUCUGGACACAAACUGACGCUGAGGUACGAAAGCGUGGGGAGCAAACAG
RNAcentral lists this ribosomal RNA (703 nucleotides) under Finegoldia magna. RNAcentral describes it as "bacterial SSU rRNA". It matches the Rfam family "Bacterial small subunit ribosomal RNA", at positions 60 to 775 of the family's 1533-position model. Lineage: Bacteria; Bacillati; Bacillota; Tissierellia; Tissierellales; Peptoniphilaceae. The record is from RNAcentral.